Molecule: ribosomal RNA, 153 nt
Filed under: Canis lupus dingo (dingo)
Lineage: Eukaryota; Metazoa; Chordata; Mammalia; Carnivora; Canidae
Description: 5.8S ribosomal RNA (ENSCAFG00020011494.1)
Rfam family: 5.8S ribosomal RNA
About the family: 5.8S ribosomal RNA (5.8S rRNA) is a component of the large subunit of the eukaryotic ribosome. It is transcribed by RNA polymerase I as part of the 45S precursor that also contains 18S and 28S rRNA.
Source: Rfam by way of RNAcentral
GACUCCGCGGAGGAUCGCUCGGCUCCUGCGGUGAUGAAGGACGCAGCUAGCUGCGGGGAUUAAUGUGCACCGCAGGACACACCGAUCAGGGAAACGGCAGACGCACUUGCGGCCCCGGGCUCCUCUCGCGGCUACGGCCUGGCCUGAGCGUCG